ACGCGAAGAAACCUUACCCAGGCUUGACAUGCACAGGACGUAUUUAGAGAUAGAUAUUUCCUUCGGGACCUGUGCACAGGUGCUGCAUGGCUGUCGUCAGCUCGUGCCGUGAGGUGUUGGGUUAAGUCCCGCAACGAGCGCAACCCUUAUCAUUAGUUGCCAACACGUGAAGGUGGGAACUCUAAUGAGACUGCCCGGGUUAACCGGGAGGAAGGUGAGGAUGAUGUCAAGUCCGCAUGGCCCUUAUGUCUGGGGCUACACACGUGCUACAAUGGUCGGUACAACAGGAAGCGAAACCGCGAGGCGGAGCAAAUCCCCAAAGCCGACCCCAGUUCAGAUUGCAGUCUGCAACUCGACUGCAUGAAGCCGGAAUUGCUAGUAAUGGCGAGUCAGCAACACCGCCGUGAAUACGUUCCCGGGUCUUGUACACACCG
Molecule: ribosomal RNA, 434 nt
Filed under: uncultured bacterium
Lineage: Bacteria
Description: bacterial SSU rRNA
Rfam family: Bacterial small subunit ribosomal RNA
Source: RNAcentral